GUAAAGCUGUCGAAAGACAGCGGCACAAAGCCAAGGGUCUAAGGUCUGGCAGCAGACUAUGACAGCCGGUUGCCGC
RNAcentral lists this non-coding RNA (76 nucleotides) under Anaerostipes rhamnosivorans. RNAcentral's name for it is "Cyclic di-GMP-I riboswitch". It matches the Rfam family "c-di-GMP-I riboswitch aptamer", at positions 12 to 85 of the family's 87-position model. Rfam says of the family: GEMM was predicted in a large-scale screen for bacterial structured RNA regulatory elements. Genes associated with GEMM are involved in a diverse array of functions, including chemotaxis regulation, signal transduction, secretion and chitin. Lineage: Bacteria; Bacillati; Bacillota; Clostridia; Lachnospirales; Lachnospiraceae. The record is from RNAcentral.